CUGCAGUGCAUAAAUUUGAGAUAUUAAAAAUCAUCAAGCAUCAUAUAUUUUCAAAGGUGCCAUCUAGUAAACAUUUAGAAAAUGAAACUGUCGUGCAUUGAUUUAUGAACAGCUGUUGGUGACAUAAUAUGACAUAAUAAUUCAAAAUCUGAGCAUACAUAUAAGAGAUAUCUAAUGUGAAACUUCUAUAAUAUGUUCUAUUCAGACAUCCCCAAUCAAGCCAUGUGAUUUAUAAACUGUAAAGUAAAGUAAAAUUU
This 257-nucleotide long non-coding RNA is filed under the name Panax ginseng (ginseng). RNAcentral describes it as "long non-coding RNA (PGIN_LNC017226)". Lineage: Eukaryota; Viridiplantae; Streptophyta; Magnoliopsida; Apiales; Araliaceae. The record is from RNAcentral.